This 290-nucleotide unclassified non-coding RNA is filed under the name uncultured fungus. Its description in RNAcentral is "partial contains small subunit ribosomal RNA, internal transcribed spacer 1, and 5.8S ribosomal RNA". The stretch from base 1 to 73 matches the Rfam family "Eukaryotic small subunit ribosomal RNA", at positions 1759 to 1831 of the family's 1831-position model. Lineage: Eukaryota; Fungi. The record is from RNAcentral.
UCAAACUUGGUCAUUUAGAGGAAGUAAAAGUCGUAACAAGGUUUCCGUAGGUGAACCUGCGGAAGGAUCAUUACCAAAUAAUAGCUGUCCUGGCCCCGCGCCUUGACGCUUCAACCAUUUGUGAACCAAAACAAACCUUCGCUUCGGCAGCGGGGCAGCUCGCCCGUCAGCCUGCCGCUGGCAUCAAAUUCAAACCUGCAGUUGAACUGUGUCUGAAUCCAAAUUUCUGAAUUGAAAUCAAAACUUUCAACAACGGAUCUCUUGGUUCCCGCAUCGAUGAAGAACGCAGC